This 566-nucleotide ribosomal RNA is filed under the name Streptosporangium vulgare. RNAcentral describes it as "bacterial SSU rRNA". It matches the Rfam family "Bacterial small subunit ribosomal RNA", at positions 293 to 874 of the family's 1533-position model. Lineage: Bacteria; Bacillati; Actinomycetota; Actinomycetes; Streptosporangiales; Streptosporangiaceae. The record is from RNAcentral.
UGAGAGGGCGACCGGCCACACUGGGACUGAGACACGGCCCAGACUCCUACGGGAGGCAGCAGUGGGGAAUAUUGCGCAAUGGGCGAAAGCCUGACGCAGCGACGCCGCGUGGGGGAUGACGGCCUUCGGGUUGUAAACCUCUUUCAGCAGGGACGAAGUUGACGUGUACCUGCAGAAGAAGCGCCGGCUAACUACGUGCCAGCAGCCGCGGUAAUACGUAGGGCGCAAGCGUUGUCCGGAAUUAUUGGGCGUAAAGAGCUCGUAGGUGGCUUGUCACGUCGGGUGUGAAAGCUUGGGGCUUAACUCCAGGUCUGCAUUCGAUACGGGCUGGCUAGAGGUAGGUAGGGGAGAACGGAAUUCCUGGUGUAGCGGUGAAAUGCGCAGAUAUCAGGAGGAACACCGGUGGCGAAGGCGGUUCUCUGGGCCUUACCUGACGCUGAGGAGCGAAAGCGUGGGGAGCGAACAGGAUUAGAUACCCUGGUAGUCCACGCUGUAAACGUUGGGCGCUAGGUGUGGGGACCUUCCACGGUUUCCGCGCCGUAGCUAACGCAUUAAGCGCCCCGCCU